GUGACCGAACACUGGAACAGAGACCAGAGAGGGUGUGGAGCCUCCCGCACCGGGGAUAUUCCAGAGCUGUCUGGACACAAUCCUGUGCCGUGUGCGCUGGGACAAGGAAAUACGAAAUCAACCCAAGCUAAUAAACCCUAAUAAAGCCUACUGGGACGCUUCAUAAGCACUUUGAAUCCACAAAAUGCCUCUGUUCUUCAUCCACUGGCAAAAUGCGUCAGUCAAUUACCUCCCAAACCCGCAUUUGCUGAAGGUGGAUGUCUGACCCAGCAUGUGGAUGGUGUUUUCAGCCAUUCAGGAAGCAGGGCUGCAGUUCCCAUAUGGAAGAAUAAAGGCAAGAUGUCGGUGCCUUAAGAGAAAUUAUUUGGAUGCUGAUAGAACAAGCUUUGUUAUGUGGGGUUGUGUGUGUGUCCUGCACAGUAUCUGCAAACAGGAAAGCUGGGAAUGUUUUAGUGCAUACAGGCAAGUCUACAAUCAAAAUACUACCCCAAUGGGUAGUUUUAUACCAC
This is a long non-coding RNA of Lepidothrix coronata (blue-crowned manakin), 509 nucleotides long. RefSeq lists it as uncharacterized. The transcript is spliced from 5 exons. The record is from RefSeq and is a predicted model, not a curated record. NCBI's taxonomy places the organism in Eukaryota, Metazoa, Chordata, Aves, Passeriformes, Pipridae.